AAAAAAAAAACAAAUGAAGUCUAGGAUGUGAAUGCCAUUUCAAUUCCUUCUCCCUGAUCAUCCUCUAGCAAUGUCAACAAGGAGGGAAGAAGCCAAAAGACGGACAACAGCAGGACAGAGAUGGAGAAAAAGUCUGCCCAGUAGACAAUGAGAUGACCCCUGAAUGGAGAAGAAUUGAUUGGAAUGUCAUUUUAUGUGAAGAGAGUCCUUUUCUCUGAGGAGAGCAACCACUUUAUAUUCUCAUUUAAUCCCUCAAGACCUGUGCUUUUAUUGGUACGGAAGCCUCAGUGAGAAGACUCCCUCUUUCAAUACAGUGUGGCAGGCAGAGCCAUCUCCCAGGCACACACCACAACGAUCUUCAGUGGCAUUGGAA
This is a non-coding RNA of Phascolarctos cinereus (koala), 373 nucleotides long. The record is from RefSeq and is a predicted model, not a curated record. Lineage: Eukaryota; Metazoa; Chordata; Mammalia; Diprotodontia; Phascolarctidae.